CCCUGGUGGCCGCAUUUGAGAAAUGCUGGUUUGGAGUGCAUACUUAUGGUCAUGUGGUUGGGGUUUUUUUAAGACACAAAUUAUAUUCAUUUAGAGCAACAUUGGGACCUCGUGUGAAUACAUGUGUUUACAGACAUGAGUAAGAGUAGCAAAAUUUAGCCUUUAAUAUCAGAAGUGUCUUAAAAGCAUCAGAAGCCCCAAAAUCCUAAAAAUAUCCAUUCUGUUAAAAUUGACCUUUUCAGUUUCAGUUCGUGUCUUGCAGUCUGAGUCUCUGAAGUGGCUGUGGCUUGGACAGUGGUUCUUUCAGCUCAGAAAAAAAACCUGACCUUUGUUUAAGAAGAAAAAGAACCUUCCCCCCUCCUCCCCGAAUCAUUCCUGUUGCACUCACACAGUUUUAAAAAGCUGACAGAUUCUGUGAGCUGAAAGCAGCUCCAGGCUGAGCCAUUGACAGUUUAAAGACAGCAGAGAAAGACUCAGGAAUCUGUUUCGUCUAAAAGACCUAUGAAUGAAAGCAAAUUAAAAAAGCAAAUAUGGUAUGAAGUUAUGAUAAUUGCACAAUACUACUAUGGAUUUUCUGAAUGUUUUCAUCAACCUGCAUUUUUAGGCAGGAGAGACCUCUGAGAUGUUCCCUCUGCUGUCUGCUUUCAGCAGAGAAACUAAUCCAGCAUUUUACAACUGGAGUAUGGUUCGAGAUGUAUUAGUUCCCUGUAAGCAGCAAAGGAAAAGACAGCUCUACUCAGGAUCUGGAAAAUGCAGCGGGCAUCUUUAGUUUGUCCACAGGUUAUCUCUGGACUUACAUUCACGGUGAUCGACAUCCUAGACCUGCUUUUCAAACUGGCUGUGGAUAUAGCAAAAACAAGAAACACCACCAGUCCUGAACAGACUAUUGUCUCCUUCAGACUAAGAUCAGAAUCCUCCCAAGUCUCCUGGCAAGACAGAAGUUCCUGGAUUCAAAUUCUAAAACAUCCUUGCAUAGUACUUCAACUCAUCAAAAGGCUAUAAAACAGAUGACCAAGUAGGUCAUUAUGACCAUUCAGUGUUAGUGUCAUCAUUAACCACAAGGGCUGACAUUCUGGCAUUGAAAAUUUUGCUCCUUCCCCAAAGUUCCCAAGGGUUUCUAUGGUUUUCUGAUUAUCUCUGACAAAAAAAAAAAAAAAAAAGGGCAAAAGGAAGACAGUGCAUCAGUGACCACAAACAAACAGAUAUCGACAUGCCCCCAGUACAAGGAAUACAAGCUUAUGUCCUGGCUAUUGAAGAAACAGAGAAAUCCCACCUUUCGUCCAACAUACCAGGUGCUAAAUCACAUUCCAUUGAACUAUUACAGAUUGUGAAUUCUCUUGUUAACAGCGUACUUCAGCUACUCUCAUUGAGAAGUAUGAUCAGAGAAGUAUGAUCUUGGAGAAAGUCAUCCAAAUCAAAUAUUGACUCUUGGAGCCCUAGGAAGCAUGGAUCAGGCAUAGGCCUGAUGACAGGAUACUGAAUUUUCCCAUUCUCAGCCUAAAGUUGCAACAGGCAGUGAAAAAGUCAACUACUUCCAUCCAAACUCCCUACUACCUCUCAAAAAGCAAUGAAUGAAGGGGAAAAAAUCAGUGAUUGAAGCAGUAAAGACAAUCAAGUUGCAGGAGGCACUAUAUCUUGUUAUGAAUAAGCAUGAAAGUGCUAAGAAGACUGUGUAUUCAUCUUAAUCACCACUAUGGAGAACUUUAAAUAUUUCAAAUGUUAGUUUUAGUGACUUGACAAAACAUCUAACAAUAUAUUAAAGCUCAAUUUGUACAACCUUAAAAAUAAUGGCCUAAUUCUCUGAUACAGUGUAGCUGCUUUACAGCACUCCAGGGGCAUAAACUGGGUCGAGAGCAAAUUUAGCCAAUCAUCUAGAGAAGACCACCUUACUACAAGGAUGAUACUCCAGUAACAUAGAUGUGAUGUACGGGCACCUAUGUCACAUACCCCUCCCUGCAAUCAGUGUACUGUGGAAAAGUAGGCAUGGCAAAAAGACAGGGGGCCCGACUACCAUGCAGCUGAACCACACCAACCCUUCGCUGUAUUUUGCGUUUAACUUGCCUUUAUAACCUGGCAUAUGUUAGAACUGCCUUCAAGAUGACCCUGUGCAGAGCAGCAUCAGGGUUGGGAAACUGCAAAUGUGAUCUUUAAACAACCUUUGUACCUACCUCUGCCUGCACUUGGUUUAUUUCAGCUGCAGCUGGCUCAUUGUCUUUAUCUGUCUAUGUUAAACGAAACACCUGAAAACACUUUUUCCCUUUUAAAGUGGUUCUGAACGUUCUCGGGCAAAUUCUGUCUAUAUUUAGAUCUGCAGAAUUUAUGGUUUAAUGGGGAACAGAAUUUAGCUCUAUGUUUUCAGGAAUGUGUAGAGGAGCUAAAACUGUGCACUAUCUAAAACAUCAAAGAGAAGAUUUUUAAAAAAAAAUUUGUAAGCCUAAAAUUUUCAUUUACUCAUUCAGGUACACUGUCUUGCUCCCACACAAGAAUUUACUGUGUGUAUAUUCAAGUAGGGUUUAAAUCAAAACUAACAUUAAAAAAUCCCACUGAAGAAGAGUAGGUGUAUCAAUGAUUCUUAAAAAAUAAUCUGUUUGUGAAGUUUUCCAAAUGGCUAAUUUUAGAUAACCAAAUAAAAUAAAAAUAAAACAUAAAUAAAUAAAAAUCA
Chelonia mydas (Green sea turtle) is the source of this 2662-nucleotide long non-coding RNA. RefSeq lists it as uncharacterized. NCBI's taxonomy places the organism in Eukaryota, Metazoa, Chordata, Testudines, Cheloniidae. The record is from RefSeq and is a predicted model, not a curated record. The transcript has 3 exons.